AACUAACGCUGGCGGCGUGCCUAACACAUGCAAGUCGUACGAGAAAGUUGGCUUCGGCCGAUGAGUAAAGUGGCGCACGGGUGAGUAAUGCGUGGAUAAUCUGCCCUUUAGUUGGGAAUAACGUACCGAAAGGUGCGCUAAUACCUGAUAAUACUGCAUAACUACUGUUGUGUAGUCAAAGAAGGCCUCUGUUUACAAGCUUUUGCUGAAGGAUGAGUCCGCGUACCAUUAGCUGGUUGGUGGGGUAAUGGCCUACCAAGGCUACGAUGGUUAGCUGGUCUGAGAGGAUGAUCAGCCACACUGGAACUGAGACACGGUCCAGACUCCUACGGGAGGCAGCAGUGAGGAAUAUUGCGCAAUGGGGGCAACCCUGAUCCAGCCAUGCCGCGUGAGUGAAGAAGGCCUCGGUUGUAAGCUCUUUCAGACGGAAAGAAAACGACAUCGGUGAAUACCCGGUGUGGAUGACGGUACCGUAACGAAGGAAGCACCGGCUAAC
Molecule: ribosomal RNA, 496 nt
Filed under: uncultured bacterium
Lineage: Bacteria
Description: bacterial SSU rRNA
Rfam family: Bacterial small subunit ribosomal RNA
Source: RNAcentral